UCCCUGAUGGUUCAGAUGGUAAAGCAUCUGUCUGUAAUGCAGGAGACCCAGGUUUGAUCCCUGGGUUGGGAA
RNAcentral lists this transfer RNA (72 nucleotides) under Bos taurus (domestic cattle). It matches the Rfam family "tRNA". Rfam says of the family: Transfer RNA (tRNA) molecules are approximately 80 nucleotides in length. Their secondary structure includes four short double-helical elements and three loops (D, anti-codon, and T loops). Further hydrogen bonds mediate the characteristic L-shaped molecular structure. tRNAs have two regions of fundamental functional importance: the anti-codon, which is responsible for specific mRNA codon recognition, and the 3' end, to which the tRNAs corresponding amino acid is attached (by aminoacyl-tRNA synthetases). tRNAs cope with the degeneracy of the genetic code in two manners: having more than one tRNA (with a specific anti-codon) for a particular amino acid; and 'wobble' base-pairing, i.e. permitting non-standard base-pairing at the 3rd anti-codon position. RNAcentral also lists the same sequence under 5 other names. Lineage: Eukaryota; Metazoa; Chordata; Mammalia; Artiodactyla; Bovidae. The record is from Rfam by way of RNAcentral.